CGAAGCGAUUUUCGCCGUUUCUCAGAUUACUGGGAGUGGGGACAGCGUCCUUUUAUAGACACGAGAAUUCCGGCGUUGGUGGAAUGAAGAAAAAGGUGCACACCUGUAACUUUCCUCUUCUUUUGCCUCCUUUAUACGAAUCACACAGUAUUCAUUGGGGGUUUUCUAUUUUCAUCGGAAUAUUUCGUGUUCCUCGAAAUAACUUCACAAGUAUGGUAAUAUCUGGAGCCAGUUAUAUGAGCAAAAAUAACAUUUUACGAUACAGUUCGUUUCUACAUGUUUCUGGCAAGUGGAUUAUGUGUUACUUAUAAACAUCAUCUCUCACAAACAAGUCAUUUUUCACAAGUGGGCUAAUGAACAAAAAUAUAUCUCUGUAUAUGUUACCGAAUUGAUAAAAUUCUAGAAAUUAAAUUGCAAAAAUUAAUACCUGUGUACUUAGCAAUUAGGCACCGGUCCUCAUUGAGUGUAUCAUUUUGGACCUUUUCCAAACAUCCCACGAAGCUUCUCGCUGAAAUAUUUAGGCCAUGAAUCAAAAUGACGCUAUUUUAUUUUAUGUUUAGGUAUACAUGUUUUUUUUUCAAAAAAGGGGAGUAAUAAAUUAUGAACUAUCAACCAUAAGUGUUUUUACCUAAUGUAUAGGACACUGGAUUGUUGUUAAUUUUCAAAAGGAUGAAUACCCAGAGAAACAGCCGUAGGACCAUUCUCGAUGUUGUAGGAAGUUAAUUACCCACUCUCCAUGAUUCAGGAUCAGAAUUGGCUUGGUCCCCAUGUUUAUGGAUAAGUACAUUAACUUACAGUGCCCUCACCAAAUUAGAAAUUCCUAUUUUUGAGAAUAGGAGAGGUCUUCCUACAUCAUUUUUGAUCUCACGCGUGAUCAUAAAGCGGCAGUUAUCGUUUACGCACAACAUGAGUGCAAAACAUAUUCCUUGAAACUUGGUGCGUUACAUAGUUCUGUCGUUUCUUUUGCAAAAUGCACUGUACUUAGUGCCUAAAAUGUGAUUGCGUUACACUAAGGUGGUAGGUGUCAUGAUCCCAAGGAACUGAGUUUGAUGGAACCGGAAUCAUUAGGUAAAUGUGGGAGUUAGACCGGAACAAGUAAUAAUUCACAACCGGAAUUAAUUCUAUUCGGCCCCAUUUAGGUGUAUUUUCUUCCAGUAAGAUAUUAGAAAAUAAGAACUAUUUCGUUAAUAAAUAAUUGAAUAUU
Molecule: long non-coding RNA, 1204 nt
Organism: Photinus pyralis (common eastern firefly)
Lineage: Eukaryota; Metazoa; Arthropoda; Insecta; Coleoptera; Lampyridae
Exons: 2
Source: RefSeq, a predicted model, not a curated record